AGGACAAACGCUGGCGGGGUGCAUGAGACAUGCAAGUCGAACGAGGCACUGUUGAGCUUGCUCGACGGUGUCCUAGUGGCGGACGGCUGAGUAACGCGUAGGUGACCUACCCGGAAGUGGGGAAUAACUGCCCGAAAGGGUGGCUAAUACCGCAUGUGGUCGACGAUUCGAUUCGUCGUCCAAAGGAGCAAUUCGCUUCCGGAGGGGCCUGCGUCCGAUUAGCUAGUUGGUAGGGUAACGGCUUACCAAGGCGACGAUCGGUAGCUGGUCUGAGAGGAUGAUCAGCCAGACUGGGACUGAGACACGGCCCAGACUCCUACGGGAGGCAGCAGUCGGGAAUUUUGCCCAAUGAGCGAAAGCUUGAGGCAGCAACUCCGCGUGAGGGAUGAAGGCUCGUAGGGUCGUUAAACCUCUUUUCUCAGGGAAGAUACAAGACGGUACCUGAGGAAUAAGCGACGGCUAACUACGUGCCAGCAGCCGC
Molecule: ribosomal RNA, 481 nt
Filed under: uncultured bacterium
Lineage: Bacteria
Description: SSU rRNA
Rfam family: Bacterial small subunit ribosomal RNA
Source: RNAcentral